UGUUAAAAACUUCAUCCGUUUCAAAUGUUAAAAAUUGGCCUAGCUGAUGAAGUAACCAAACAGCUACACGUUGCGUGCCACGUGUACCUUAUAUUGACAUAUAUGGACCAUCUUUUAACAGAAAAAUAUGGACGAAUUUUUAACA
This is a non-coding RNA of Gossypium hirsutum (cotton), 145 nucleotides long. NCBI's taxonomy places the organism in Eukaryota, Viridiplantae, Streptophyta, Magnoliopsida, Malvales, Malvaceae. The record is from Rfam.